UACAGAGGUCCCAAGCGUUGUUCGGAUUCAUUGGGCGUAAAGGGUGCGUAGGCGGCGCGGUAAGUCGGGUGUGAAAUCUCGGAGCUUAACUCCGAAACUGCAUUCGAUACUGCCGUGCUUGAGGACUGGAGAGGAGACUGGAAUUUACGGUGUAGCGGUGAAAUGCGUAGAUAUCGUAAGGAAGACCAGUGGCGAAGGCGGGUCUCUGGGCUGACACUGACGCUCAUGCACGAAAGCGUGGGGAGCAAACAGG
RNAcentral lists this ribosomal RNA (253 nucleotides) under uncultured bacterium. RNAcentral's name for it is "partial 16S ribosomal RNA". It matches the Rfam family "Bacterial small subunit ribosomal RNA", at positions 524 to 776 of the family's 1533-position model. The record is from RNAcentral.